GGAUGUGAGGGUGAUCUGGCUGUGACAUCUGUCCCCCCAUUGAUCGCCAGGGUUGAUGUGGCUGAUCGGCUGGCUAGGCGGGUGUCCCCUUCCUCCCUCACGCUCCAUGUGCAUCCCUUCCACAGCUGCGCACUCAGUGGAAGAGGACGACCUUCCCUGAUAGAGCAGCGUGUAUCAAGGGUAUAUGAGUAGCUGCACUCCCCUGCUAGAACCUCCAAACGAGCUCUCAAAAAUAGGUCAGUAGUCAGCAAAUAUCAUUGUAGAACCUGGGCUAAAGGCAGUAGGAGGCGGUUUAAAUAG
RNAcentral lists this small nuclear RNA (300 nucleotides) under Prolemur simus (greater bamboo lemur). RNAcentral describes it as "7SK RNA (ENSPSMG00000011303.1)". The stretch from base 1 to 269 matches the Rfam family "7SK RNA". Rfam says of the family: 7SK was discovered as an abundant small nuclear RNA in the mid-70s but a possible function has only recently been suggested. Two independent studies have found that 7SK RNA binds the CDK9/cyclin T complex (known as elongation factor P-TEFb). The record is from RNAcentral. Lineage: Eukaryota; Metazoa; Chordata; Mammalia; Primates; Lemuridae.